RNAcentral lists this long non-coding RNA (375 nucleotides) under Pandoravirus dulcis. Its description in RNAcentral is "putative ncRNA". The record is from RNAcentral.
GGUCGAUCCUUUGGCCGCUCGUCGCCGCCUGCGCGGCCGCGCUCUGUUGGGCGCCCAUGACUGUCGGUUUGGAAAAAAAAGAAGCGGGGGAAACAAAAAAGUGAGGGAUUGCGCUUCUCUCUCUCUCUCUGUGUGGCGGGAAGAAGACGGAUCGACAGCGACAGGUUUCUCACUCGGGAAGCCGGAAUGACGUCGACGUGCGUCGGAGGACGGCGCACCAAGGUCGGCCUCUUGUCGCCGGUCAGUGUGCGCGCGCGUGCCUGUCGACUGCUGCUCUGGCCCCGCUCUCCUCCUCCUGUUUCCUCUCGACACGGCCGUCGCUGCCCGCCCAGCACCUCCGGCCCUUGUUUGCCCCGUGUCAAGGGAAUAGUGAGC